AGAGUUUGAUCAUGGCUCAGAAUCAACGCUGGCGGCGUGCCUCAGACAUGCAAGUCGAACGAUUAAGACUCUCUUCGGAGAGUGUAUAGAGUGGCGCACGGGUGAGUAACACGUAGGUAAUUUGCCUUCGGGUGGGGAAUAACUUGGGGAAACCCAAGCUAAUACCGCAUAAUGCAGCGGCACCAAAUGGUGACAGUUGUUAAAGCUUUAUGUGCCUGAAGAGAAGCCUGCGGUGGAUUAGGUAGUUGGUAAGGUAAUGGCUUACCAAGCCUGCGAUCCAUAUCCGGUCUUAGAGGACGGUCGGACACACUGACACUGAAUAACGGGUCAGACUCCUACGGGAGGCAGCAGUGGGGAAUUUUCCGCAAUGGGCGAAAGCCUGACGGAGCAAGACCGCGUGGGGGAAGAAGGCUCUUGGGUUGUAAACCCCUUUUCUCUGGGAAGAAAGUUGUGAAAGCAACCUGACGGUACCAGAGGAAUCAGCAUCGGCUAACUCCGUGCCAGCAGCCGCGGUAAGACGGAGGAUGCAAGCGUUAUCCGGAAUGAUUGGGCGUAAAGCGUCCGCGGGUGGCAGUUCAAGUCUGCUGUCAAAGACCGGGGCUUAACUUCGGAAAGGCAGUGGAAACUGAACAGCUAGAGUAUGGUAGGGGCAGAGGGAAUUCCUGGUGUAGCGGUGAAAUGCGUAGAGAUCAGGAAGAACAUCGGUGGCGAAGGCGCUCUGCUGGACCAUAACUGACACUCAGGGACGAAAGCUAGGGGAGCGAAUGGGAUUAGAUACCCCAGUAGUCC
This 789-nucleotide ribosomal RNA is filed under the name uncultured cyanobacterium. Its description in RNAcentral is "bacterial SSU rRNA". It matches the Rfam family "Bacterial small subunit ribosomal RNA", at positions 8 to 796 of the family's 1533-position model. The record is from RNAcentral. Lineage: Bacteria; Bacillati; Cyanobacteriota.